AUCUCCUGCUGCAUUGACCUGCUCUGAUGUUGCAUAAGCCCCAUAAUGUACCUCCUUACGUGAUAGAGCCUUCAGAGCAGCAAAGAAAGCUUGCACCUUCUCCACAACAGACGUGAGCUUGAAAGUCAGGUACAACCCUGUCAUUAGUGAUGAAAAGAGGCUCCCGUAUUCUUUAUUCAAAAAGAAUCGGUACCAGACUGGUGUAGGCAACAAGGC
This 216-nucleotide unclassified non-coding RNA is filed under the name Hevea brasiliensis (rubber tree). The record is from RNAcentral. Lineage: Eukaryota; Viridiplantae; Streptophyta; Magnoliopsida; Malpighiales; Euphorbiaceae.